RNAcentral lists this long non-coding RNA (3228 nucleotides) under Malus domestica (apple). RNAcentral describes it as "long non-coding RNA (MDOM_LNC008870)". The record is from RNAcentral. Lineage: Eukaryota; Viridiplantae; Streptophyta; Magnoliopsida; Rosales; Rosaceae.
GAUUUGAUGAAAGAGGUUUUUAAUUGUUACCUUUUUUGGGCACUUUUGACUUGAUUGAAAGAUGAUUGCCCGCUGCUCGCGCAUAGAAAUCCUGGUAUGCCUCAAGGGUAUUUUUGUCCUAUUUUGUCCAAAAGUCCACGUGUCGCCUAGUAAAUAUUUUUGACUCCACAACUAUUCAUGAAGAGUAAAAAAUUGCAACUCUUCAUUUGAGUAGACACAUCUUUCUACCAAAAGGCUCCACUUCUAAUUUCCAUUCAAUUAAUAAAUUUAAUAUAAUAAUAUUAUUAUUAAAUUUUCCAACAAUCCCCCACAUGAAUGGAAAUUGACUCAAUACCAUGCAAAUGACAAUGCAGACACUAGAGAGAUAAUUUAGUAGGAAAAGUAUCACAUCAGGAUAGGUGGCUUUUGGCUUUGAACCUUCCGUAGUGAAUUACUAUCGGAUUUACUUGGCUAAUCAGUGAACGCGAUAUCUUGAACUGCUCAGCCAUUUGUGUAAACCAAGACAAUAGUAAUCACACGGUACCCUUCCAAACACCCCAUGGUUGCUCGAUUGUGUUCAUUUUGGCCCUGAACAAUUAUUGGUUUCUCAUGAGUGCUUUUAAAGAACUGAGCCCUACAAAAAAUUCUCACAUGAACGGCCCCAUUCCUCACUCAAGAUAGAUGACUUCCCAUUAAGAGUAUCCUGCAAUACCCCACUUGUUAUUUCCAAAUAUAGGAAUCAUUAAAAGCAAAGUUUAUCCUAAAUACGCUGCAGACAACACUGUUUCAUCAUAGGACAUGGGUAAAACGUAAUCUCCGCAAUGCUCCCAUUGAAUCAUCCACAAUUCGGUUGUCCCCUUGAACCUAGAUCUUGGGAUCUCCAGUCAGCUAGGUUGGGUUGCCAUUAUGGCGAUUCUUAAGACGUGGGCUUUUAACCCAUUCCCCUCGAUGAUACAACUUAUUCUCUAGUCAAACCCUUAAUUAAUUGGAUCCACUAGAGGUUGAUGACUAUCAGUUAAAGUGCGCACUUCCAUUUAUGAAAUUAUAUUUCAUUCAAGAGUAGUUGUUUUCCAACAUUAAGUCCUUCAAAACAUAUGUUAGGACUUAAAAAGUAAUUUGCUAAUACUCAGGGUACAUUCCCCCACAUUUAAGGUAUUUGCUAGAAGAUCUCCAACCUUUCAAUACCUUAAAAUUACCAUUAUAAGAAAUGACAUUUUGAUUGUCUCAUUCAAUUAGCACAUUAUAUUUCCAUUCUUCUUAAAUAAAUCUCAUAUCUCAAAAUUAGAUAAGUUACCUCCACAAUUCUUUGAUAAUUGUGGUUAAUUUAACGUCAUUGUUAAAUCGAUCACGUUUUUUUUUUUUUUAUGAAGUAGGAAACAACUAAGACAGACCUUAUAUAUCUAUCUUCUUAGGCCUUCAUGCCUCACUGGCCAUUAUGGAAAAAGCACUUCUUGGCUUUCAUCCCUUCCGCACUCUGACUAACAUACACGACCCAAUGGCCAUGUCCAUUAAUAUGCUUACUUAAUAAGUAUCAUUAUGCAUGUCUAAUACAAUUAUGCGAAAUGCUCCGCACAUUUUUAGUGUCGUCUUUUCCUUUGUGAAAGACCCCCACAAUUUCAAGAUUAUUUCUCUACUGAUAUCAUUUUGAAUAACACUCAAUAAUAUUCAUUUUCUCCAUGGCAAAUGCAUCACUCUCCUCGGCAAAGAAGCAAAACACAUGAACUAAAUGCUUCUCAAGAAAUCUUCCAGAAAGUUAAGUGAUAUAUGACUACAGUCAUAUAAGUCAUAUAAUUGUUCGUAAUAGUAUGAUGAUAUCAUUCUAGGCCUCUUGAAAUUGAUGAAUUAAUCUCUUCGAAGAAAUCAGAUAAAUGAUUUUGCAACAUUAUUAUCACUAUAUGAUAAUACAUCCAGUCGGUAUGUAGAAGUUUACAUACCAACCCAUGAACACGUAUUCAAAUUUAAGAAUGGCAAUGACUAGUUGGAAAGGUCGUACCCUUUCACUGUCAAAAGUAGCACUUCAAAUGGCAUGCUUUUUGCUUGGAAUCUCAUAUGGCAGAUUCCACCUUUUGGUUCCACCACCUUACAGAAACUAUUCAUUUGUCAAUUAAUUGCAUCUUUUUGCAUCUUAACCGCUACAUGGUUCUAAAUGUCCCAAAAUUCUUGACUCAAAUGAAUAUAGAACCGUCAAGCCGCGGUCUUACCGAUUUCUCUUUUAUCUAGAAUCUCCAACUGGUCAAUUGUGAUGGAGUUUUACAUAUACCAUAUAUAUUUUACAGAACACCCAAUGAUUCGUUUCAGGACUUCACACAUAUGAAUACAACAAAUCAAGGUAUGCAUCUAACUGUCAUACUAAUUUCACACCAUUCUCAUCCCGUGUCAGUUGUCUUAGUGUUGCACACAUGAGGCUUUGAAACAUGUAAUUCUUUCCCAGAAGAUUAGUGCAUGCACAAAAUAAAAGGGAACUAUUAUAUUAAAGCAACAACUCCCCAUGCGUAUACAAGAUGAAUAUAUACACAGACCAAAUACAGUUCAACACCAUAGUUUUUCAAUAUAUCAUCAUGCCUUAUGACAUUUUCAUUUCUGAAAUGAUAAAACCUUAACAGUUAUUGAGUUCCAAACCGUUUGACAUGCAAAACAACAUGAUCCAUUGUCCAAAUGAAUGUAUUAUGGCGAAAUUACCAUUCAAAACUAUGUUAAAACACCAAUCCAAACUAUUAUAAGAGAUACGUAUAUUCAACAGUACGCAAAACCCAUCAAAUGUAAGCAACCGUGUAACUUUUCAAUCAAAGCAAAUGGCAAUUCAUUCAUCUACUAAAUGAAUAUAUCUAAAACUGAUUGUCAAAAAGAAACGAACCUAAGUUUCUUAAUAUAAGUACUUUGUGAAUCACGUAUAGCAAAUAAACCUAUAAACUUGUCUUAAGAUUGUUGGAAAAAUUGGGUCUAAUUGCUAUAAUAAAUCACACAAAAAAUCAAGAAAUAAUUCAUGAAAUUAUAUAUCACAAUCAUGCAUGCACAUGAGUAACCAAUGUUAAAUGAACAUGAAAAACCCAAGCAUGCAAUCAUGCAAAACAAGCAGCAAUUAUGAAGUAACACCUAUGUAAUGCCAAUUCGGAAUUGAUGACAAAAUUAUAGCAACCAAACCUAAACUUGUCUUAAGAUUGUUGGAAAAAUUGGGUCUAAUUGCUAUAAUAAAUCACAUAGAAAAUCAAGAAAUAAUUCAUGCAAUUAUAUAUCACAAUAAUGCAUGCA